AUUGAACGCUGGCGGAAUGCUUUACACAUGCAAGUCGAACGGCAGCACGGACUUCGGUCUGGUGGCGAGUGGCGAACGGGUGAGUAAUGUAUCGGAACGUGCCCAGUCGUGGGGGAUAACGUAGUGAAAAUUACGCUAAUACCGCAUACGAUCUAUGGAUGAAAGCGGGGGAUCGCAAGACCUCGCGCGAUUGGAGCGGCCGAUAUCAGAUUAGGUAGUUGGUGGGGUAAAGGCCCACCAAGCCAACGAUCUGCAGCUGGUCUGAGAGGACGACCAGCCACACUGGAACUGAGACACGGUCCAGACUCCUACGGGAGGCAGCAGUGGGGAAUUUUGGACAAUGGGCGAAAGCCUGAUCCAGCCAUUCCGCGUGCAGGAUGAAGGCCCUCGGGUUGUAACUGCUUUUGUACAGAACGAAAAGGUUUCUACUAAUACUAGGAGCUCAUGACGGUACUGUAAGAAUAAGCACCGGCUAACUACGUGCCAGCAGCCGCAGUAA
Molecule: ribosomal RNA, 499 nt
Filed under: uncultured bacterium
Lineage: Bacteria
Description: partial 16S ribosomal RNA
Rfam family: Bacterial small subunit ribosomal RNA
Source: RNAcentral